Molecule: non-coding RNA, 25 nt
Filed under: Drosophila melanogaster (fruit fly)
Lineage: Eukaryota; Metazoa; Arthropoda; Insecta; Diptera; Drosophilidae
Source: RNAcentral
UUCCUAGACAGGCCCCGAGUCGCCU